Wasmannia auropunctata (little fire ant) is the source of this 1594-nucleotide long non-coding RNA. RefSeq lists it as uncharacterized. NCBI's taxonomy places the organism in Eukaryota, Metazoa, Arthropoda, Insecta, Hymenoptera, Formicidae. The record is from RefSeq and is a predicted model, not a curated record. The transcript has 7 exons.
CACCGACUCGCCGUGAUAAUUGCAAAGUCGCAUUCAAAUUGCUCUGUAUUUUUCGCGAUGAUUAUCGGUCGCAAGAACUUUCGUCUAUCUAUAUAUAUUAAAUAAAUUAUUGUAAGCCAUUAUUUCAAACAUAAUUUCGUGUAUUAUUAAGAUAUUUCAUAUCUCAAAUAACUACUAAUUCGUGCCAAUGUCAAUGGUAUCAGAAGUCACGUACAAUUGCCGUUAUCGCGAUACCGAUCAGAUUUGCUCGUUCGGAAUCCGCGUCUUCGUAUUUUUUUGCCGAUGUCUCGAAGAUGCAUGAUCGUUAUCAAUCCACGACGAUCGAGUAUCUAGAUGCGGGGCCCUAAAAAAUCCGUCACUUGGCAGCGAAGGAAGGCAGCAACUGGCGUUUACUGCUCUGCGGUUGGCAGUACCCUUUCGGGAAUCGCCAUGUCUCUCUUCAAUACGCCUAGUCACAGUCGUAGUCGGGACGCGCCGCGGCGAUUGUAGGAUCGCACUUGAAUCGCUCCGCGUAUUUCCACAACUGUUCAAAGAAUUUUGCACGCGAGAAAUGUAUGUGGUGAAUAUCCCUCGUCGGGCGUUACCGCGAAUAUCUCUUCGUAGCGCAAUAUCACGAAAGUAUAUCACGCAAACGCUAUUAUUACGCGCGAUUUCAAUUCCGGCGAUUCGGCCGCUUCUACAUUACAUACUCGGAAUUGAUCGAAAUCACUUCUGCGAAAUGCAUCGAAAGGGGCAAUACGCAAACGAUCACGUGUGGACAGGGCGCAUCGUUUUGUAAUAUGUGAAGGAUCGAUCGAGGAUCGAGAUCGAUCGUCUCCAUAGUACGUGGUAUUAUUGGCUCGCGGUCGCAACGACGUGAACGUCCGUCGUCCAUCUGUGAUGUUAUCGAUCGCCCGUCAGAAUCGUUUCCACCGACAUCACGUUCAACCAUCGUUAAAAUCGUUCGCCACGUGCUCGCUCGCUCGCACGCGCGCGCAUGUACCACCGGGCGUUGCAGAAAUUUUCGAAGGAGCCCGAGGAAGCGAGAUAAAGUUCAAAAGUUGCAGCGAUAACGGAUAUUAGAUUAAGCCGCUGAUGGAUUCCUGGUGGUCCACCCUCGUCGGGGUUUUCUUUACACGAAGAUGCAAAUACUCCAACAAUCGUCCCGUACGGCGGACGUCGAGCAGUUAGGUGCAUGUGCUACAUAAAAGUAAACGCAGUCCAUUAUCCCGAUCUGGCUUGCACGCAAAUGCGCGGGCGCUUAUGGUGGCAAUUCGCACCUACCAAUUGCAUGCAUGGAAACUCGAGAGACAAACUGCCUCGACUGCAAUCAAGCGUAUUGUGGCGAUUUUGUAAUAAUUGACUGCACACAUCAAGAACUGUUAUGUCACGCGGAAACAAAAUGUAAUUUUUCACGAAAUCGUCAGCAGCGAAAUUAUAAUUAGCCACUUGUUUGAGAAUUUAACGAAUUUAUCGUAGAUAAAUGUGGAAAGUUAUAAAUUUACGAUUGUUAAAAAAUCCAACGAUUUCGAUCAUUUUAAAUUCAAAUAUCUCGAAGUUAAAUAACAUGUAACAUCUCACACACAAACGUAGUUUUUUAAAAAUUUAAAACUCU